AGAAAGAUUUAAUCUUCUCAGGAGAAGCUGGAGAAGAUUUAUGGACGCCUAUUCUUAACAUGUCAAAAUGUGGCUUGGCUGCUAAAUUUACUGGGACCGCCUACACAGCUGAGGAUUUCUGUGACUCUGCUGGAAAUAAUGGCUUUAGGAGUAUCUCAGGGAGCUGACCCCAGAAGAUACAGAAACUAAGGCGUUCGACCUCUUUUAUUGCAACUGCUCCCAUCCUUCCUGCCCGCCCUACCCGCCGGAAACUUAAAAACCCACGCCUGUUGG
Molecule: long non-coding RNA, 273 nt
Filed under: Felis catus (domestic cat)
Lineage: Eukaryota; Metazoa; Chordata; Mammalia; Carnivora; Felidae
Description: lncRNA (ENSFCAG00000042873.2)
Source: RNAcentral